AGUGAACGCUGGCGGUAGGCCUAACACAUGCAAGUCGACCGGCAGCACAGUAAGAGCUUGCUCUUACGGGUGGCGAGUGGCGGACGGGUGAGGAAUACAUCGGAAUCUACUUUUUCGUGGGGGAUAACGUAGGGAAACUUACGCUAAUACCGCAUACGACCUACGGGUGAAAGCAGGGGAUCUUCGGACCUUGCGCGAUUGAAUGAGCCGAUGUCGGAUUAGCUAGUUGGCGGGGUAAAGGCCCACCAAGGCGACGAUCCGUAGCUGGUCUGAGAGGAUGAUCUGCCACACUGGAACUGAGACACGGUCCAGACUCCUACGGGAGGCAGCAGUGGGGAAUAUUGGACAAUGGGCGCAAGCCUGAUCCAGCCAUACCGCGUGGGUGAAGAAGGCCUUCGGGUUGUAAAGCCCUUUUGUUGGGAAAGAAAAGCAGCAGGUUAAUACCCCGCUGUUCUGACGGUACCCAAAGAAUAAGCACCGGCUAACUUCGUG
This 492-nucleotide ribosomal RNA is filed under the name uncultured bacterium. RNAcentral describes it as "partial 16S ribosomal RNA". It matches the Rfam family "Bacterial small subunit ribosomal RNA", at positions 29 to 507 of the family's 1533-position model. The record is from RNAcentral.